CCCUUAGAUGUCCUGGGCCGCACGCGCGCUACACUGAACGGAUCAGCGCGUUUUCCCUUCCCGAGAGGGACGGGUAACCUGCUGAACCCCGUUCGUGGUAGGGAUCGGGGCUUGCAAUUAUUCCCCGUGAACCAGGAAUGCCCAGUAAGUGCAAGUCAUAAGCUUGCGUUGAUUACGUCCCUGCCCUUUGUACACACCGCCCGUCGCACCUACCGAUUGAAUGGUCCGGUGAAAUCUUCGGAUCUGAGAGAUGUCUGAUUAAUUUCGGACGCCUUUUGGAAAAGUUGCUUAAACCUUACCAUUUAGAGGAAGGUGAAGUCGUAACA
Molecule: ribosomal RNA, 326 nt
Filed under: uncultured eukaryote
Lineage: Eukaryota
Description: partial 18S ribosomal RNA
Rfam family: Eukaryotic small subunit ribosomal RNA
Source: RNAcentral